UUCCACUAGAAUCUAAAUGUAUUUUGGCGAUAAUAAUAUGCUACAGUAUAACAUUUUUCCCAAUCACCAUAUGAUGGAGAGACUAUAUACAAAGAGGCUUUAGUUCCAUAGGAGGAGGGAGCUAAGAAUCAAGAAAACAAAAAAAUGAACCUUUUUUUUGCUUGAGAUCUCUCUUUAGCAACUCAAAAUGCUAAUGUAAGCCAUCUAAUAUAUCCAAAACAGUAGCCUUUGGAUGUUGAAAGUCG
Molecule: unclassified non-coding RNA, 245 nt
Filed under: Hevea brasiliensis (rubber tree)
Lineage: Eukaryota; Viridiplantae; Streptophyta; Magnoliopsida; Malpighiales; Euphorbiaceae
Source: RNAcentral